AGUGAAGGAUCUAGUUAUCUGACUACUAUCCUGGGAAGUCAACUAGUACUGUAAGCAAACUAAUAAUUUGCUUUUACAUAAAGAAAAUCAGUGAAUUUGAUUUUAUAUUUCACUUUGAAAGUUAUUGAACAUUUACUGCUUACAACAAAUUUGUUGAAUGAUGCUACUUGCUUUUUUUUGUAGCUAAUCUAAUGAGAAUUUAUAUUUGUGCAUAAAGUUCCUUUCCGUAAAACGCAUUGUAGAUAUACGAUUGAUAAAAAUGCUAUUAUAUUCUCUGCAUCAA
This is a non-coding RNA of Schizosaccharomyces pombe (fission yeast), 283 nucleotides long. NCBI's taxonomy places the organism in Eukaryota, Fungi, Ascomycota, Schizosaccharomycetes, Schizosaccharomycetales, Schizosaccharomycetaceae. The record is from the annotation of a GenBank genome assembly.